AUACUACUCCCUCCGUCCCAAAAUUCUUCUCUUAGAUUUGUCUAAAUACGGAUGUAUCAAGUGAUAUUUUAGUAUCAGUUACAUCCACAUCUAGACUAAUCUAAGACAAGAAUUUUGGGAAGGAGGGAGUACUUU
Molecule: non-coding RNA, 135 nt
Organism: Triticum aestivum (bread wheat)
Lineage: Eukaryota; Viridiplantae; Streptophyta; Magnoliopsida; Poales; Poaceae
Source: Rfam